AGCGAACGCUGGCGGCAGGCUUAACACAUGCAAGUCGAACGCACUCUUCGGAGUGAGUGGCAGACGGGUGAGUAACACGUGGGAACGUGCCCUUCAGUUCGGAAUAACUCAGGGAAACUUGAGCUAAUACCGGAUACGCCCUUCGGGGGAAAGAUUUAUCGCUGAAGGAUCGGCCCGCGUCUGAUUAGCUAGUUGGUGGGGUAAUGGCCUACCAAGGCGACGAUCAGUAGCUGGUCUGAGAGGAUGAUCAGCCACACUGGGACUGAGACACGGCCCAGACUCCUACGGGAGGCAGCAGUGGGGAAUAUUGGACAAUGGGCGAAACCCUGAUCCAGCCAUGCCGCGUGAGUGAUGAAGGCCCUAGGGUUGUAAAGCUCUUUCAGCUGGGAAGAUAAUGACGGUACCAGCAGAAGAAGCCCCGGCUAACUCCGUGCCAGCAGCCGCGGUAACAC
Molecule: ribosomal RNA, 452 nt
Filed under: uncultured bacterium
Lineage: Bacteria
Description: bacterial SSU rRNA
Rfam family: Bacterial small subunit ribosomal RNA
Source: RNAcentral